Molecule: unclassified non-coding RNA, 376 nt
Filed under: uncultured Parachlamydiaceae bacterium
Lineage: Bacteria; Pseudomonadati; Chlamydiota; Chlamydiia; Parachlamydiales; Parachlamydiaceae
Description: contains 16S-23S intergenic spacer region
Source: RNAcentral
UCCUGGUUAACCCAGGCAGUCUCAUUAGAGUUCCCAUCUUAAUGUUGGCAACUAAUGAUAAGGGUUGCGCUCGUUGCGGGACUUAACCCAACACCUCACGGCACGAGCUGACGACAGCCAUGCAGCACCUGUGCAGAAGCCCCGAAGGGAGAUUACAUUUCUGUAACUGUCUUCUGCAUGUCAAGUCUGGGUAAGGUUUUUCGCGUUGCAUCGAAUUAAACCACAUGCUCCACUGCUUGUGCGGGUCCCCGUCAAUUCUUUUGAGUUUCAGCCUUGCGACUGUACUCCCCAGGCGGUAUACUUAUCGCGUUAGCUUCGGCACAACCGGGGUUGAGCCCAGUUACACCAAGUAUACAUCGUUUACGGCAAGGACUAC